GGGGAUAUAGCUCAGUGGUAGAGCACUUGCCUAGUAAGCGCAAGGCCCUGGGUUCGGUCCCCAGCUCCG
This 69-nucleotide transfer RNA is filed under the name Rattus norvegicus (Norway rat). It matches the Rfam family "tRNA". From Rfam's summary of the family: Transfer RNA (tRNA) molecules are approximately 80 nucleotides in length. Their secondary structure includes four short double-helical elements and three loops (D, anti-codon, and T loops). Lineage: Eukaryota; Metazoa; Chordata; Mammalia; Rodentia; Muridae. The record is from Rfam by way of RNAcentral.